This is a long non-coding RNA of Solanum tuberosum (potato), 1889 nucleotides long. RefSeq lists it as uncharacterized. The transcript has 3 exons. NCBI's taxonomy places the organism in Eukaryota, Viridiplantae, Streptophyta, Magnoliopsida, Solanales, Solanaceae. The record is from RefSeq and is a predicted model, not a curated record.
UUUCAAUUUUCCCCUAAUUUAGUUUCAGUUCUCUUCGAAUUCCCAAUUCCAUGGUUGUUAUCCUUUUUAUUAAUAUUUUUUCAUUCACAUGCUUUUAUUUUUCUGCAAAAAUAUAUUUCAUCUAUAUUCUAAAUACAAAAAGAUUCAUCAGUAUUCUCAGUUCUCUUCAUCGAUUAUCCAUUUCGUGGUUGUUUUCAAGUUUGCUCAAUAUUUUCUGACUAUUGAGAGAAGGAAAGACCAAAAUAAACUUAAGUUGUCGGUUCAAGAAGUUUAUGAAGUUGGUCAAAUUUUUAGUUACAAUAUAAUUAACUUUUCAAAUUGUAAAUUAUUUGUGAAUAAUGAAGAAGCAUUUAUACACUUUAAAGUCAUAUUUAUUUUUCAUGUUCCCUCCAAAUGGAAUAAAAACUUGGAAUGGUACUAAUUUCAUUUGGCUUAGCCCUAUUUUUCUUGCAAUUGAUUCUUUCGGUAACACUUGAAGCUCUUAAAAUGGAAAAAAUUGUGGUCUUUUGCUAGGAUUUGAUAGAACAUUUUUCGAAUUCCAGUUUUAAAUAUUAUAAGCAAACAAAAAUACAUAUAAACAAUAAGAUGGUAAUACCUUACAUUUCUUUUUAAUAUUGUUUUCUUCUUCUUUUUACUUACAUUUGCUACAUUUAGCCGGCGGAUUUUUCGGAAAUAAUCUCUCUACCCCAUGAGACAAUGGUAAGGUUUGUAUACACUCUAGCCUUUAGACAUCGGUAAGGUUUGUAUACACUCUAGCCUUUAGACAUCACUUGUGGGAUUUCACUAGAUAUGUUAUUGUUGUGCCUUUUUUACGCUUUCAAAAUUUAUCGGACUUGUCAUGCUUCCCUAUAGAUUGUUAUGGUUUUUCUUUUUGGGUGUUUAAUCUAAUAUCGUGGACUUCUCAAACUUUUCACAAUAUAUUAAUGGUGGUUCAAUUUUUUUCUUUUUUGUCACAACUUCAUGUGCUAUGUUGCUUCAUCUAUUAUAGACAGCUGCCUUUGUGUUUUAUUUCGUUUGCACUUAGUCUGUAUUGCUAAUUUGAUGAUCCAAUUCAGACCAUUUAUAUGCAAUACCAAAAGCAUUGAAAUUUGUUUAAGGAUACAUUACUAUUAAAGGUAUACAUUAAUAGUUUCAUAAAAAUAUUUCAUGGUUUAUUGAGAGAGCACUUACCAUAUUAUUAUCGCUGAAAGAACUGAUAACAAAAUCAUCAAGACUAUGCGACGUCUGUUAUUAAUAUAGCAUCUGGUGCUCCUCUUUUAUUAGUGCAGGGUAAAUAAAUAUUAAUACUUUUGUGUAUUUUGAGAAGUAACUGAAAGAGUUUCUAUUUCAGAUGCAAACUUUACUAAUUCAAAUUGUUUUGGUAUGAUACAGACUAAUUUAUGUUUGGUCCGAAAUAUUAGGUGCAUCAUUCUUGAUUGGAAGUGUAAUGUGAAAGUAAGCAUAAACUAAGUUAUGUGUUCUAUUCUUUCAACAGGAGAUGGAGGUAAUCGAGAUGAAAAAGAUAAGAGUAUGGUGAAUUUCUAGCAGUAAAGGUGAAAAUAUCGGAGAAUGGCUAGAAAAACAUUUCUAGAAAAGCAUGAGAAGGACGACCAAGGAACCAGGAUUUUGGGGAAAUUUUCUUGGAGUUGAAGGAAAGAACCAUGAAGCUACAUAACAUAGUUAAAAAGGCGCUAAAUCCAUUGUACCUUAACACCGUUCACAUACAAGCCGAUCAAUGACUACAGGAUUUUCAAUGCACUAUUGAUGCUUGGCAGGUUUCACAAUUUUUAUCUAAUUAUUUUAGUUAGGUCUCUCUAAAUUUAAUUAAUAGGAACAAUUGUUAAGAGAAAUGAGAUAUAGAUAUCAAUUUUGAGUAUGCCAUUACCGUGCUCAUUAAUAAUUUUGAUUUA